CUCAUAAGCGGUAUUCCUCUGAAGCCGCACCUUGUGCCGCACUCAUGCCAGCUCUGAAAACUAAGCUAAGCAAGGCUAGGCCAGUCAGUACUUGGAUGGGAGACCUUCAAGGAAAUACCAGGCGAUCAGU
This 130-nucleotide ribosomal RNA is filed under the name Gopherus agassizii (Agassiz's desert tortoise). The record is from RNAcentral. Lineage: Eukaryota; Metazoa; Chordata; Testudines; Testudinidae.